UUGCCCAUCUGGGUUGUGGAUACCUGCUUUUAUUCUU
Molecule: unclassified non-coding RNA, 37 nt
Organism: Mus spicilegus (steppe mouse)
Lineage: Eukaryota; Metazoa; Chordata; Mammalia; Rodentia; Muridae
Source: Ensembl